AAGCAGGAUGGAGCCAGGAGACCUGGAGGAGGCGCAUGGAGCCUAGAGACACGUGAAGAAACUGCGCUUGUCUUUUGGUCGUGGACUGGGUGACACAGAUGUGGAGGGUGCAAGGACAAUAAGAAACAGAUAAAUGUAUACAGCCAUAAGGAUCCAUUUUUUCCUCAAGAGAGGUCCCAGUGGCCAGUCCCCGCACCCUCCAGCAGACCUUGGGCUGACCUGCCCUUCUCCAUCCUGCUGCAUGUCGCUGUUGGUCACUGCCCCUCUAACCACAUUUUCCCUUCCCUGCAUCUUCAUCCAGGAGCAAAGAAUGCCCAGUGGCCUUAGGAAAUAAAAGGAGUCAAGGAAGUUAAGAAGAAAAAGGAGGAGGAGCUGGAGAAGAGAAAGAAAAAGAAGGAAGGGAGGGAAGGGAAAAAGAGGAAAAGAAAAUCAUUCCUUUCCUAGAAAAAUGGUAGGAAUCUCUCUUCCUAAUGCUGGAGUUGAAAUAGCAGCAGAUGAAAUGAUGCGCAAACAAGCCCAAGGAUGAGCAGUCUGAAGAGCAUUUCAAACCCACUUAAAUUUCUCAGGAUAUACUACA
Long non-coding RNA from Talpa occidentalis (Iberian mole), 577 nucleotides. RefSeq lists it as uncharacterized. NCBI's taxonomy places the organism in Eukaryota, Metazoa, Chordata, Mammalia, Eulipotyphla, Talpidae. The transcript is spliced from 5 exons. The record is from RefSeq and is a predicted model, not a curated record.